This 484-nucleotide ribosomal RNA is filed under the name uncultured bacterium. Its description in RNAcentral is "partial 16S ribosomal RNA". It matches the Rfam family "Bacterial small subunit ribosomal RNA", at positions 30 to 507 of the family's 1533-position model. The record is from RNAcentral.
AUUGAACGCUGGCGGCAGGCCUAACACAUGCAAGUCGAGCGGAUGAAGGGAGCUUGCUCCUGGAUUCAGCGGCGGACGGGUGAGUAAUGCCUAGGAAUCUGCCUGGUAGUGGGGGAUAACGUCCGGAAACGGGCGCUAAUACCGCAUACGUCCUGAGGGAGAAAGUGGGGGAUCUUCGGACCUCACGCUAUCAGAUGAGCCUAGGUCGGAUUAGCUAGUUGGUGGGGUAAAGGCCUACCAAGGCGACGAUUCGUAACUGGUCUGAGAGGAUGAUCAGUCACACUGGAACUGAGACACGGUCCAGACUCCUACGGGAGGCAGCAGUGGGGAAUAUUGGACAAUGGGCGAAAGCCUGAUCCAGCCAUGCCGCGUGUGUGAAGAAGGUCUUCGGAUUGUAAAGCACUUUAAGUUGGGAGGAAGGGCAGUAAGUUAAUACCUUGCUGUUUUGACGUUACCAACAGAAGAAGCACCGGCUAACUUCGUG